This 253-nucleotide ribosomal RNA is filed under the name uncultured bacterium. RNAcentral's name for it is "partial 16S ribosomal RNA". It matches the Rfam family "Bacterial small subunit ribosomal RNA", at positions 524 to 776 of the family's 1533-position model. The record is from RNAcentral.
UACGUAGGGACCAAGCGUUGUUCGGAUUUACUGGGCGUAAAGGGCUCGUAGGCGGCCAACUAAGUCAGACGUGAAAUCCCCAGGCUCAACCUGGGAACUGCGUCUGAUACUGGAUGGCUUGAAUUCGGGAGAGGGAUGCAGAAUUCCAGGUGUAGCGGUGAAAUGCGUAGAUAUCUGGAGGAAUACCGGUGGCGAAGGCGGCAUCCUGGACCGAUAUUGACGCUGAUGAGCGAAAGCUAGGGGAGCAAACGGG